GACGAACGCUGGCGGCGUGCCUAAUACAUGCAAGUCGAACGCAGUGGGGACGGGUGAGUAACACGUGGGUAACCUCCCAUCAGAGGGGAUAACACUUGGAAACAGGUGCUAAACCGAUACUGAUGGAUGGACCCGCGGUGCAUUAGCUAGUUGGUGAGGUAACGGCUCACCAAGGCCACGAUGCAUAGCCGACCUUGGAGUGUGUUCGUCCCCACUGGGACUGAUACACGGCCCAGCCUCCGACGGGAGUCAGCAGUGGUGAAUCUUCGGCAAUGGACGAAAGUCUGAACGAGCAACGCCGCGUGAUUGAAGAAGUUUUUCGGAUCGUAAAACUCUGUUGUUAGAGAAGCGGUAUCUAACCAGAAAGCCACGGCUAACUACGUGCCAGCAGCCGCGGUAAUUC
RNAcentral lists this ribosomal RNA (403 nucleotides) under uncultured bacterium. RNAcentral's name for it is "partial 16S ribosomal RNA". It matches the Rfam family "Bacterial small subunit ribosomal RNA", at positions 28 to 526 of the family's 1533-position model. The record is from RNAcentral.